AAAGUUUGACAGACAAUCGCUGGUAGCCAAGAUGCUACGAGAGGAAAGUCCGGGCUCCGCAUGGCAGGAUGCUGGAUAACGUCCAGUCGGCGCAAGCUGAAGGAUAGUGCCACAGAAAUGGACCGCCGAUGGCUGACUUAUGUCAGAACAGGUAAGGGUGGAACCGUGGUGUAAGAGACCACGAGGUGCGUAGGUGACUACGUUCCUGGUAAACCCCAUCUGGAGCAAAACCGAGAGAAUGCAGUAGCUUUGUGCUACAGCCUUAGCCUGAGGCGCGUUCGGGUGAGUUGCUUGAGCCAUAUAGCAAUGUAUGGCCUAGAUAGAUGAUUGUCGCUUGUAGUGGGAGGGUCGUUCCCGUUAUUACCACUUAUAGUACAGAACCCGGCUUAAGGCAAACUUUCCGC
RNAcentral lists this RNase P RNA (404 nucleotides) under Bacillaceae bacterium. RNAcentral describes it as "RNase P RNA component class A". It matches the Rfam family "Bacterial RNase P class A". From Rfam's summary of the family: Ribonuclease P (RNase P) is a ubiquitous endoribonuclease, found in archaea, bacteria and eukarya as well as chloroplasts and mitochondria. Its best characterised activity is the generation of mature 5'-ends of tRNAs by cleaving the 5'-leader elements of precursor-tRNAs. The record is from RNAcentral. RNAcentral also lists the same sequence under 1 other name. Lineage: Bacteria; Bacillati; Bacillota; Bacilli; Caryophanales; Bacillaceae.